GAUGAACGCUAGCUACAGGCUUAACACAUGCAAGUCGAGGGGCAGCACGGGGUAGCAAUACCUGGGUGGCGACCGGCGCACGGGUGCGUAACGCGUAUCCAACCUUCCCGUUACUCUUGGAUAGCCUUCCGAAAGGGAGAUUAAUACAGGAUGGUAUCUGAAAUUCGCAUGUUCUUCAGAUUAAAGAUUUAUCGGUAACGGAUGGGGAUGCGUGACAUUAGAUAGUAGGCGGGGUAACGGCCCACCUAGUCUACGAUGUCUAGGGGUUCUGAGAGGAAGGUCCCCCACACUGGAACUGAGACACGGUCCAGACUCCUACGGGAGGCAGCAGUGAGGAAUAUUGGUCAAUGGGCGAGAGCCUGAACCAGCCAAGUAGCGUGAAGGAAGACUGCCCUAUGGGUUGUAAACUUCUUUUGUUUGGGAAUAAAAGACGCUACGUGUAGCGUUGUGCAUGUACCUUACGAAUAAGCAUCGGCUAAUUCCCGUG
Molecule: ribosomal RNA, 487 nt
Filed under: uncultured bacterium
Lineage: Bacteria
Description: bacterial SSU rRNA
Rfam family: Bacterial small subunit ribosomal RNA
Source: RNAcentral